GAUGAACGCUGGCGGCGUGCCUAACACAUGCAAGUCGAACGAAGCACCUUACCUGAUUCUUCGGAUGAAAGUUUGGUGACUGAGUGGCGGACGGGUGAGUAACGCGUGGGUAACCUGCCCUGUACAGGGGGAUAACAGCUGGAAACGGCUGCUAAUACCGCAUAAGCGCACGAGGAGACAUCUCCUUGUGUGAAAAACUCCGGUGGUACAGGAUGGGCCCGCGUCUGCUUAGCUGGUUGGCAGGGUAACGGCCUACCAAGGCAACGAUCAGUAGCCGGUCUGAGAGGAUGAACGGCCACAUUGGAACUGAGACACGGUCCAAACUCCUACGGGAGGCAGCAGUGGGGAAUAUUGCACAAUGGGGGAAACCCUGAUGCAGCAACGCCGCGUGAGUGAAGAAGUAUUUCGGUAUGUAAAGCUCUAUCAGCAGGGAAGAUAAUGACGGUACCUGACUAAGAAGCUCCGGCUAAAUACGUG
This 477-nucleotide ribosomal RNA is filed under the name uncultured bacterium. Its description in RNAcentral is "partial 16S ribosomal RNA". It matches the Rfam family "Bacterial small subunit ribosomal RNA", at positions 28 to 507 of the family's 1533-position model. The record is from RNAcentral.